This 1398-nucleotide ribosomal RNA is filed under the name uncultured organism. RNAcentral's name for it is "bacterial SSU rRNA". It matches the Rfam family "Bacterial small subunit ribosomal RNA". The record is from RNAcentral.
CAUGCAAGUCGAGCGCGAAAGUCUCCUUCGGGAGGCGAGUAGAGCGGCGAACUGGUGAGUAUAAGAUGGGUAAUGUGCCCUGAUGUGGGGGAUAGCUCCGGGAAACCGGGAUUAAUACCGCAUGUCACCAUUCUUCACAAGAAGAUUGGGAAAAGGCCUUGAGUCGCAUCAGGAUCGGCCCAUCCCCCAUUAGCUUGUUGGUGAGGUCAAAGCUCACCAAGGCGACGAUGGGUAGCUGGCCUGAGAGGGUGGUCAGCCACACUGGGACUGAGAUACGGCCCAGACUCCUACGGGAGGCAGCAGUCUAGAAGCAUCCACAAUGGACGAAAGUCUGAUGGUGCGACGCCGCGUGUGGGGUAAGGCCCUUGGGUUGUAAACCACUGUCAGAAGGGAAUAAGGCUUGUAUAGCAAUAUGCAGGUUUGAAGGUACCUUCAGAGGAAGCACCGGCUAACUCCGUGCCAGCAGCCGCGGUAAUACGGAGGGUGCAAGCGUUGUUCGGAAUCAUUGGGCGUAAAGCGCGCGUAGGCGGACUGGUCAGUCUAUGGUGAAAUUUUCACGGCUCAACCGGAAAAGGCCCGUGGAUACUGCCAGUCUGGAGGACGGUAGAGGAGAGUGGAAUUCCUGGUGUAACGGUGGAAUGUGUAGAGAUCAGGAAGAACACCCGUGGCGAAGGCGACUCUCUGGACCGUUUCUGACGCUGAGGCGCGAAGGCGUGGGGAGCGAACAGGAUUAGAUACCCUGGUAGUCCACGCAGUAAACGUUGAUCACUAGGUGUAGCGGGUAUUGACCCCUGCUGUGCCGGAGUUAACGCAUUAAGUGAUCCGCCUGGGGAGUACGAUCGCAAGAUUAAAACUCAAAGGAAUUGACGGGGGCCCGCACAAGCGGUGGAGCAUGUGGUUUAAUUCGACGCAACGCGAAGAACCUUACCUGGACUUGACAUCUCGGGAAUUCCGUUGAAAGACGGGAGUGCCUUUAACGAGGAAUCCGAUGACAGGUGCUGCACGGCUGUCGUCAGCUCGUGUCGUGAGAUGUUGGGUUAAGUCCCGCAACGAGCGCAACCCCUAUCUUCAGUUACCAUCAGGUGAUGCUGGGGACUUUGGAGAUACUGCCCCGGUUAACGGGGAGGAAGGUGGGGAUGACGUCAAGUCCUCAUGGCCUUUAUGUCCAGGGCUACACACGUGCUACAAUGGUAUGUACAAAGGGAAGCGAUCCCGCGAGGAGGAGCUAAUCCCAAAAAGCAUAUCAAAGUUCGGAUCGGAGUCUGCAACUCGACUCCGUGAAGUUGGAAUCGCUAGUAAUCGCGGAUCAGCAUGCCGCGGUGAUACGUUCCCGGGCAUUGUACACACCGCCCGUCACACCAUGAGAGUUGGCUGUACCAGAAGUCGUUGGGCUAACCC